UACGAAGGGGGCUAGCGUUGUUCGGAAUUACUGGGCGUAAAGCGCGCGCAGGCGGCUAUCCAAGUCAGUGGUGAAAGCCCGGAGCUCAACUCCGGAACUGCCAUUGAAACUGUUUAGCUUGAGGACGAGAGAGGUGAGUGGAAUUCCCAGUGUAGAGGUGAAAUUCGUAGAUAUUGGGAAGAACACCGGUGGCGAAGACGGCUCACUGGCUCGUAUCUGACGCUCAGGCGCGACAGCGUGGGGAUCAAACAGG
This 253-nucleotide ribosomal RNA is filed under the name uncultured bacterium. Its description in RNAcentral is "partial 16S ribosomal RNA". It matches the Rfam family "Bacterial small subunit ribosomal RNA", at positions 524 to 776 of the family's 1533-position model. The record is from RNAcentral.